Molecule: long non-coding RNA, 927 nt
Organism: Syngnathoides biaculeatus (alligator pipefish)
Lineage: Eukaryota; Metazoa; Chordata; Actinopteri; Syngnathiformes; Syngnathidae
Exons: 5
Source: RefSeq, a predicted model, not a curated record
AAAAAAAUUAAUUCUUCCCAAUUUUUUAAAGAAAAAAAUAUAAAGUUUAUUCCAAAAAGCAGGAACAAUAAUUUUCUCUUCAGUGCGACACUAAAACAAAAAAAAGUGUUUUAUGCAGACUGCUUUCCUUCGCUGUCCUUCCCCCACUUAAGUGAAUAGAAAGGAGAGGGAUAAACGGAUUGGAAGCAAGGAUAUGCGUGCGAAGCAAAGGAAGGAAGGAAGGAAAGGGAACGCUUGAAAGGAAAGAAUAUGAAAGGAGAAAAGAGGGAUGAAGAAAGUCUAGAUAGAAGGAAGGAAACAAGGAAAGUUUAAAGGAAGGAUAAGGCGGGUCAAAGGAAGGAACGCUGGAGGUACGGAGGAGGAAGAAUGGAAGGAAGCAUGGAAGGAAUACAAAAUGCCUGAUCUCCAUCAGGGUGUGACUGAUUCUAGAAAAUACCUUGCUGAUCACAGUCAGAUUCUCAGACAAGAUUUUUCAUGGAUGGAGGAGACGCCUGUCACAUCUUAUUGGAUGGUGGUUUCAGUAUGUUUAUUUUCAGAGAUGAUUCUGAUAAAAAUCACUCGGGUGAUCCAGGACAAGAGACGCUGUGAAGUCGCUCUCGCAGGAAAAUUGGCACUCACGGCUCUCGACACACGAGUCCAAAGCAAUUUACUCUUCUGCUGGUUUAUGAACAAGACAAAGAGACGAAGAUCAGAAGACUGUACGGGAAGGCGCAGAACCACCAUCCAAUCCUGGGGAAGAGGAUAACGAGGAAGGCCACUUCAUUUACACUCAAGAAUAACAGGAUGAUGGAUGGCAAAGAUGAUAAGGUCGGCCCAUUGCACCACCACGAUGCUGGCGAAGAAAGCAGUGUGGCACGUGAACUCCACGAUCUUCCUCUGCUCGUAGGUCUGCAGGGGUGCAGAGACCGUCGUGAAUGUAGUUGUAUA